CCUACGGGUGGCAGCAGUCGAGAAUCAUUCACAAUGGGGGAAACCCUGAUGUUUCUCCGCCUCUUUUUUUCCUUCCUUUCUUCUUCUUUUCCCCCCCUGUCAUGUGGGAGCAAAUUAAAAAGAUAGUACCACAAGCGGAAGAGACGUCUAACUCUGUGCCAGCAGCCGCGGUAAUACAGAGGUCUCAAGCGUUGUUCGGAAUCACUGGGCGUAAAGCGUGCGUAGGCUGUUUCGUAAGUCGUGUGUGAAAGGCGCGGGCUCAACCCGCGGACGGCACAUGAUACUGCGAGACUAGAGUAAUGGAGGGGGAACCGGAAUUCUCGGUGUAGCAGUGAAAUGCGUAGAUAUCGAGAGGAACACUCGUGGCGAAGGCGGGUUCCUGGACAUUAACUGACGCUGAGGCACGAAGGCCAGGGGAGCGAAAGGGAUUAGAUACCCCAGUAGUC
Molecule: ribosomal RNA, 446 nt
Filed under: uncultured bacterium
Lineage: Bacteria
Description: partial 16S ribosomal RNA
Rfam family: Bacterial small subunit ribosomal RNA
Source: RNAcentral